This 640-nucleotide ribosomal RNA is filed under the name uncultured bacterium. RNAcentral describes it as "bacterial SSU rRNA". It matches the Rfam family "Archaeal small subunit ribosomal RNA", at positions 455 to 1093 of the family's 1478-position model. The record is from RNAcentral.
GUGCCAGCAGCCGCGGUAAUACCGGUGGCUCGAGUGGUGGCCGCUAUUAUUGGGUCUAAAGGGUCCGUAGCCGGCCUGAUAAGUUACCUGGGAAAUCCGGUGGCCUAACCAUCGGGCGGCCAGGUAAUACUAUCAGGCUCGGGACUAGGAGAGACCAGAGGUACUCAUGAGGUAGGAGUGAAAUCCUGUAAUCUUAUGAGGACCACCAGUGGUGAAGACGUCUGGUUAGAAUAGGUCCGACGGUGAGGGACGAAGGCUGGGGGCGCAAACCGGAUUAGAUACCCGGGUAGUCCCAGCAGUAAACGAUGCCAGCUAUGUGUUGCUGGAACCAUGGGUUCCAGCAGUGCCGAAGGGAAGCCGUGAAGCUGGCCACCUGGGAAGUACGGUCGCAAGGCUGAAACUUAAAGGAAUUGGCGGGGGAGUACCACAACCGGUGGAGCCUGCGGUUUAAUUGGAUAGAACGCCGGGAAUCUUACCGGAGGGGACAGCAGUAUGAAGGCCAGGCUAAAGACCUUGCCAGAUCAGCUGAGAGGAGGUGCAUGGCCGUCGCCAGUUCGUACCGUGAGGCAUCCUGUUUAGUCAGGCAACGAUCGAGACCCGCAGUCUUAUUUGCCAGCAUGCCCUUUGGGGUGUAUGGGUA